RNAcentral lists this ribosomal RNA (233 nucleotides) under Pantoea brenneri. Its description in RNAcentral is "partial 16S ribosomal RNA". It matches the Rfam family "Bacterial small subunit ribosomal RNA", at positions 123 to 358 of the family's 1533-position model. The record is from RNAcentral. Lineage: Bacteria; Pseudomonadati; Pseudomonadota; Gammaproteobacteria; Enterobacterales; Erwiniaceae.
GAUCUGCCCGGUAGAGGGGGAUAACCACUGGAAACGGUGGCUAAUACCGCAUAACGUCGCAAGACCAAAGAGGGGGACCUUCGGGCCUCUCACUAUCGGAUGAACCCAGAUGGGAUUAGCUAGUAGGUGGGGUAACGGCUCACCUAGGCGACGAUCCCUAGCUGGUCUGAGAGGAUGACCAGCCACACUGGAACUGAGACACGGUCCAGACUCCUACGGGAGGCAGCAGUGGG